Rhipicephalus sanguineus (brown dog tick) is the source of this 1133-nucleotide long non-coding RNA. RefSeq lists it as uncharacterized. The record is from RefSeq and is a predicted model, not a curated record. The transcript is spliced from 4 exons. Lineage: Eukaryota; Metazoa; Arthropoda; Arachnida; Ixodida; Ixodidae.
UUGUGCAACUGGUGUCAGCGCGUUUUCAAACUUCUAAGUUUCUCAUGCACAUGUGCACGUCGUGACAACCAGUGUGCGGCGUUUUGAAGUACAGCGUGGGAACUGUGGUGUCGUUCCAUGGGCGAGUCCGGCAACAGCAGCGGCAGUGAGGAGCACUUCAGUUCAGCCGAAGAUGACAUGGCUUGGAGUGAGAAGAAUGAUGGCAGCUCAAGUGACUUGCACCUUGCUCAAGGGAGACCCACGCCGUGGUGGGGUGCUGCGGUGCCUGGUGCUGCCGCUGAAUGUGGAGAGAAAACUCGUCACUGUACACCUCUCCGCUCUGCCUUUCACGCUGCCUCGAAAACCCGCUGCUUUGCUCGCACGCUGCAUGCGUUCUGCAUGUGUUUUUGCUGGUUUCAUGGCUUGCGAGGCGUUCUAAGAAGGUCCGCAUGACUGAGGACUCCUUUCGCAGCUUCAGUGUGGUGAAGGAGCAGUGUCUACUCAGCCUUGUAAGAGAUGCGGAGUAGGUAAUAGCAGACAACAUCAUCCUGUUCUGCGCGAAGGGCCAUUUGUGGUGCAACUGAGAACGAGGGAAAAAAAACGAGAAGACAGGAUAGGGUGCCCAAUUCACUAAAUUUGCCCCAAGAAACAGGAAUGUGCUGUUUCCCACAACAUAUAUCUGCUACAAGUCCGUGGCGCCUCUGUUGGUUGCCACGCAUUUCCAUCGGCACUGCGUAAGUAGACAAACUAUAUCACUGCACAACACAAAUAGGACAUGUGUACACGCCUUUCGCUAUACAUCCUCUAUAAUAUAGAAUAGUGGCAGUAGCGUAAAUGCAGGGUGGCAUGGAGUCAACUGACAUAUUUCAAGUAGGGAAUUUUAAAGGGACACUAAAGAGAAACAAUGAAUUGGUUUAGAUUGAUAAAGUGUGCUAAAGCUGCUCUUGUGUAGCUUAUUUCACCACCAUAGGUUUAUUAUUAGAGGAGAAAACCAAGUUCAAUGUUUCAUUUUUAAAUUUCGCGCCGAUCUUUGUAAUUCGUGACGUAAAAGACUUCAAAGAGCAUUCAACGUAUUUUGGCGCCACUGGCUCGACGAAAUUUCCACAAACUCGUUCUGUCAAGUCUCUUGCCCCCUCAGAAGACAAUGUACUUCG